AUGGUGGAGGAGAUUUCACGCCUCUCUGGGCUGUCCAGAGAUGCGGUCGUGGGACUGAUGGAGCAAGGUGUUGAGCUGGAUAUUGAUUGCUUUGAUGUGGAUGCACCAGAUGACAUGAGGGGCCAUGGUAAACACCGUCUGAUGACUCAAACGGACCAAGCUCUUGACUACACAAAGGAAUCAACUCCGCAGAAACCCAUUCAGUUGUCUCUAAGUGUCACACAUUCACCGCAGUCUCAAAACAGCCGGACGCCUCCUCUCUCACACACCAGCAGCCCUGUACAUCCUUACCAAUCCAAUUACAUGCCUGCUCCACACUAUCCCCCACAUUACUACACGCAUGAACUCCCCUCUUCCACUGCAUCCUCUCCUGCCAUCCGGGCAACCCCACGGGCCAGAUCUCCUCCUCAUCCACUACAGCCCUCUCCCAUGGGUGCCACUCCUUUAUCUUUUUUCGUCGGGAUGCUCCCUUUCAAUGUUCACUACCCAGGACUAACACAAGGAGCUCUGCUGUGGAUCAUUGUGGCAUUCCGCCUAGAGGAGGGUCACUUCGGCAGAGUGGAGAAGGGGGAUGGAAAAGAGGUGAAGGCCAGGGACUUUACAGAGGGAAGCAUGCCUCGCACAAACUCAUCAGGGCAGGCACAGUCAGCAGCCACGCCAAAAGAGAGGACUACAGCACUGGUUGGACUGAGGAAAAGGAAAUGGAAAGAGGAGCUCAAACACCUAAGAGGAGCUCCACCAAAGUAUGGAGUCGAUUUGAGGGACGUCUGUUUGGAAAAGACUCUGAAAGUGAGCGGGAGGAGAAUGACAGAGCCGAGUAUGGCUUUGGAUGGAGGAGAAAUACUGGUGGAAGCUACAGGAGGGAACAGGACAAGACAUUGUUUUGGAAUAAUGACCCAAAAGGAGGAUAUUCCCCCAUGUUUUCAAAGAGAGAAGGCAAAGAUGAUGGAGAAAGGCUUAGCUCCAGCCUUAGGCUUUCUCGAAGAGCCCUCUUUAGGAGUGAGUCCCAGGGUCUGCUUGUGA
RNAcentral lists this long non-coding RNA (1023 nucleotides) under Neogobius melanostomus (round goby). Its description in RNAcentral is "lncRNA (ENSNMLG00000019525.1)". The record is from RNAcentral. Lineage: Eukaryota; Metazoa; Chordata; Actinopteri; Gobiiformes; Gobiidae.